GACGAACGCUGGCGGCGUGCUUAACACAUGCAAGUCGAACGGAAAGGCCCCUUUGGGGGUACUCGAGUGGCGAACGGGUGAGUAACACGUGAGUAACCUGCCCUUGACUUCGGGAUAACUUCAGGAAACUGGGGCUAAUACCGGAUAGGAAUCCUUGCUGCAUGGUGGGGGUUGGAAAGCUUCGCGGGUUUUGAUGGACUCGCCGCCUUUCCGCUUGUUUGUUGGGUUGUGGCCUUCCAAGGCCUUGACGGGUAGCCGGCCUGGGUGGGCGACCGGCCACAGUGGGACUGAGAUACGGCCCAGACUCCUACGGGAGGCAGAAGUGGGGAAUAUUGAACAAGGGGCGGAAGCCUGAUGCAGCAACGCCGCGUGCGGGAUGACGGCCUUCGGGUUGUAAACCGCUUUCAGCAGGGGCGAAGCUUGUGGUGACGGUACCUGCAGAAGAAGCACCGGCUAACUACGUG
This 464-nucleotide ribosomal RNA is filed under the name uncultured bacterium. RNAcentral's name for it is "partial 16S ribosomal RNA". It matches the Rfam family "Bacterial small subunit ribosomal RNA", at positions 28 to 507 of the family's 1533-position model. The record is from RNAcentral.